Haliotis rubra (blacklip abalone) is the source of this 123-nucleotide long non-coding RNA. RefSeq lists it as uncharacterized. Lineage: Eukaryota; Metazoa; Mollusca; Gastropoda; Lepetellida; Haliotidae. The record is from RefSeq and is a predicted model, not a curated record. The transcript has 3 exons.
GGGUUGUGCCCUCUCAGACGUGAUAUCACGUCCCUCGUAUGUAAGUGUCAUGUUGCUAAAAAUAGUCUCGUAUUGAAGGGUUGUGACCCCUCAGACGUGAUAUCUCGUCCUUCGAAUGGAAAG